RNAcentral lists this ribosomal RNA (657 nucleotides) under uncultured Acinetobacter sp. RNAcentral describes it as "bacterial SSU rRNA". It matches the Rfam family "Bacterial small subunit ribosomal RNA", at positions 125 to 776 of the family's 1533-position model. Lineage: Bacteria; Pseudomonadati; Pseudomonadota; Gammaproteobacteria; Moraxellales; Moraxellaceae. The record is from RNAcentral.
UCUGCUAAUUAGUGGGGGACAACAUUCCGAAAGGGAAGCUAAUACCGCAUACGCCCUACGAGGGAAAGCAGGGGAUCUUCGGACCUUGCGCUAAUAGAUGAGCCUAAGUCAGAUUAAAUAGUUGGUGGGGUAAAGGCCUACCAAGGCGACGAUCUGUAGCGGGUCUGAGAGGAUGAUCCGCCACACUGGGACUGAGACACGGCCCAGACUCCUACGGGAGGCAGCAGUGGGGAAUAUUGGACAAUGGGCGCAAGCCUGAUCCAGCCAUGCCGCGUGUGUGAAGAAGGCCUUUUGGUUGCAAAGCACUUUAAGCGAGGAGGAGGCUACUUGGAUUAAUACUCUAGGAUAGUGGACGUUACUCGCAGAAUAAGCACCGGCUAACUCUGUGCCAGCAGCCGCGGUAAUACAGAGGGUGCGAGCGUUAAUCGGAUUUACUGGGCGUAAAGCGUGCGUAGGCGGCUUUUUAAGUCGGAUGUGAAAUCCCUGAGCUUAACUUAGGAAUUGCAUUCGAUACUGGGAAGCUAGAGUAUGGGAGAGGAUGGUAGAAUUCCAGGUGUAGCGGUGAAAUGCGUAGAGAUCUGGAGGAAUACCGAUGGCGAAGGCAGCCAUCUGGCCUAAUACUGACGCUGAGGUACGAAAGCAUGGGGAGCAAACAGG